This is a long non-coding RNA of Symphalangus syndactylus (siamang), 3684 nucleotides long. RefSeq lists it as uncharacterized. NCBI's taxonomy places the organism in Eukaryota, Metazoa, Chordata, Mammalia, Primates, Hylobatidae. The record is from RefSeq and is a predicted model, not a curated record.
ACAAAGUCAGAAGGCCCAGGGCAAGUGCAGAAACGUCCCUUGCCCGGGGAAGUUGAGCGCACACCCAGGCACGCCCGUAUUUCUGGAGAAUUCCUCCGGUGCAGGCGGCCGCGUUUUCUACUGCAUCGCAGUCCGCGGGGGUUGGAAACGCUCCCGCCCUGUUUUCAGGCGCGUCCCCGCCUCCUGAGCCUCCGUCCUCUGCGGAGGGGCCGCGCGCUCCAGUUUGCCAGUGUGAGCUUUUACCCUUCACUCUCGGCGUGGGCCUCCUGAGCCGUGUCUGACUUUCUUUUGAUUCCUUCUCGUCCCAGCUGGAGAAAAGGGUCCUGGAAGGGUGACCUGGUGACGCUGGAUUCCACUCCCCAUCACUCCCUAGCCAACCCCGCGAGCUGAGCUCCAGGCAGGGAGGGGGACGGGUGCCUGGGAGGCGGGCGACUCCCUGGGCGGUGGCGGGCACGGGUCGAGCGUCCUCUGUCCGUCAGGGGCCCGCAGCGCCAGGAGGCGACGCUGGAUGCAGUGGCCAUCUCCUCCUGCCUCCAGGCCAUGGGGAACCCAGGGCGGAUCGCGGGUCAGCAGGGCCAGCUCUCCACCAAGCUGGCCCACCCAACAUGCCAGGACUAAGGAAAGAAGGGCUGCCCCACCCCCACAGUCGGAUGGCAAGUGUUUGGGGUGCAGCCCCCGCUACUAGUGUCACCUGUUCUGCCUGAGCAGGCCUCUCUGUUACUCCCUGCUCUUGGGCCUGAAGCAGAGCCGCUGGCUCAGCGGGGCGCUCCAUUCUGAGGUCCCUGGCGUGCACCACGGAAGCCCAGCAGGACCACCCACCCAACUGCCCCAGCUCCCCAGCGGAGGUCCUGAGAUGGCGGAUUAAAUACUCUGGGGUCCUGAAUUCCACAGAUGAACUGGGUCCCCCACGGGUAUGGCCAAGGGGACGGCCCACUCCCUAGUGGCUCCGUGUGAAAUCAAGCUGUUGCUGCUCUCACCGCGGGGCCCAGCUCACUGCCCAGACAUAGCACAUCGCCCUGCGCACGGGCUGGGUGGGCACGGCUGUGAGGGAUGCCACCCCAUGCCUCAGGCCUCCUGCAUAGGCGUGGGCCUCGCCACUCUGGGUGGACAGGCUACUUUGGCCCCUCAGCCUCUGGGGACUGCUACCCUGUUUUCAACACAGUGUCAGGCACCAUCCGGUCAGCCAGCUCCUCCAGCCCGGAGACUCCCGUGUCCUCAUUCUCCUGGGCUGUUACGGUCAGCCAGGGCCCAGCCUUUGCUGGAAGGCUGUCCAGGCUGGGCUCUGGUCAGGCAUCGAUGUCCCCCAGGCCCCUGGCCUCACCUUGCGUUGGGACAGCCUCUGCAAGGUGGAACAGGAAGGGUCUGGCUUUGCCUCUGUCACCUCCUCCUGGUCCAUCAUGUCCUCCUGGCCAGCCCGUUCCUGGUUCCUGCGGGGAGCCCAGCCAGAAGGGGAACCGAAAGAUUCUAACUUAAUUCUAGUUCAGCCUCCCGGAUCCUCUUGUGGAGCAGCAGGACCCCAUAAAAGCUACUUGGCUCAGCACCUUGCUGGCCAAGCCUCCCCACAGCGGUCCACACAGGCCAGAGGUGAACAUGCCCCACACCCGGAAGGCCUGGUGCAAGGAGGAUGUGGUGCCACAGCCUGAAUCCAACAGCACCUGCCGCUGACGCUCUGACCUGGGGCUGGGUUAGUCACCCGUCCCCCUUGCUCUGAAAUGGAGAGUGCACGUGACCACGGCCAGUCCUGGACGAUCCUGCCAUGCCAGAGCCACCAGCUGGAACACACGGACACAACCUCUUUUCCGUCUGACUGGUACAAGGUAUGUGCUUCUCCUAACUCCAGAGAGCCUUGGAUGAUGCCACCGAUGGUGAUCAAGGUGGCAACUACCCAUGUGGCUUUGACUGAAUCAGGCUUGUUCAUUUUUUAAAAUAGCUUUAUUGAUAUAGACAUCAUGCUGUAAGACUUCUCCCGUUUAAAGUGUUCAAUUCAGUGGUGUUCAGUUUAGUUACAGAGUUGUGCCACUGUCACCAUCAUCCAGUUUAGAACUUUUUUGUUUUGUUUUGUUUUGUUUUUUGAGAUGGAGUCUUGCUCUGUUGCCCAGGCUGGAGUGCAUGACACUACCUUGGCUCACCGCAACCUCUGCCUUCCAGGUUCAAGCAAUUCUCCUGCCUCAGCCUCCCGAGUAGCUGGGAUUACAGGCGCGUGCCACUACGCCCGGCUAAUUUUUGUAUUUUUAGUACAGACAGAGUUUCACCAUGUUGGACCAGGCUGGUCUCGAACACCUGACCUCAGGUGAUCUGCCUGCCUUGGCCUCCCAAAGUGCUGGGAUUACAGGCAUGAACCACUGCGCCCGGCCCCAAGUUUAGAACAUUUUCAUCACCCUAAAAAGCAAAUGGGGAUACCCCUCAGCAGUCAACCCCAUUAUCCCCUCCCUCCAGCCCCUGGUGACCACUAAUCUAGUUUCUGUCUCUGUGGAUUUGCCUGUUCUGUACAUUUCAUAGAAAUGGAAUCAUUCAAUGCACGGCCUUUGUGUCUGGCUUUUUUCACUGAGCGUAACAUUUUCAAGGCUCGUCCAUUUUGUAAUGUGGACCAGCGCUUCUUUCUUUUUUACUCCUGAAUAGAGUCCAUUGUAUAGUUAAAUACAUUCUAAUGGAUCCAUUGUUUGGGUAUAUGACAUUUUGUUUAUCCAUUCAUGAGUUGAUGGACAACUGGCUUUUUCCCACUUUUUGGCUAUUAUGAAUAAUGUUACUAUGAACGUUCGUGUCUAAGGUUUUGUGGACAUUUGUCUUCAUUUCUCUGGGGUGUACACCUAAGAGUGGAGUUGCUGUUUGACCUUUUCAGGAAACAACAGACUGUUUUCCAAAGUGACCGCACCAUCUUCCAUUCCCGCUGGCAAUGCACCAGCGUUCCCCGCUCACGCCCCACAACCCGCUGUGACUGUUGGGCUUUUUCUUGCAGCCGGCAGCCGGCACAGUAGGUGUGACAUCGUAUCACUGAGGUGUCAGUUUGCAUUUCCCUAAUGAUUCGUGAUGCUGAGCUUAUCUGACAUUGAUUAGCUUCACUGGAGGAAUGUCUGUUCAGUCCUCUCACUAUCUUGGUAGUGUCCUUUCAGACAUAAAAGUUGUAAAUUUUGGUGAAAUCCAAUUUACAUAUGUUCUCCCUUUGUUGCUUGUGCUUUUGUUGGUAAAUUACUUGAUGGAGGACGGGAGCUGCCCGGCCUCCUGGGUCAUUAGAAAGGAAACCUCUUGGCGGGCACGGUGGCCUACUCUUGUAAUCCCAGCACUUUGGGAGGCCAAGACCGGUGGAUCACUUGAGGUCAGGAGUUCAAGAACAGCCUGGCCAACAUGGCAAAACUCCCGACUCUACUAAAAAACUACAACUAUUAGCUGGGCAUGGUGGUAAGCCCCUGUAGUCCCAACUACUCAGGAAGCUGAGGCAGGAGAAUCGCUUGAACCCGGGAGGCGGAGGCUACAAUGAGCCGAGAUGACACCACUGCACUCCAGCCUGGGUGACAGCGAGCCAAGAAAGAAAGGAAAGAAGAGAAGGAGAAGGAAGGAAGGAAGGAAGGAAUUAAACCUCUUUUCUGUUUGAGCCAUUUCAUUUUGGGCCUGUCUGUCCCAGAGGUUUAACUACACUAAUGUAGAGCGUCUUUUAGUAAAGGUUUGUUGUCGAUUUGUUUCUACUUA